This 460-nucleotide ribosomal RNA is filed under the name uncultured Actinomycetes bacterium. RNAcentral's name for it is "bacterial SSU rRNA". It matches the Rfam family "Bacterial small subunit ribosomal RNA", at positions 1045 to 1500 of the family's 1533-position model. Lineage: Bacteria; Bacillati; Actinomycetota; Actinomycetes. The record is from RNAcentral.
AUGGCUGUCGUCAGCUCGUGUCGUGAGAUGUUUGGGUUAAGUCCCCGCAACGAGCGCAACCCUUAUCGUUAGUUGCCAGCGGGUUAUGCCGGGCACUCUAGCGGAACCGCCUCGGAUAACGGGGAGGAAGGUGGGGAUGACGUCAAGUCCUCAUGGCCUUUAUGUCCAGGGCUACACACGUGCUACAAUGGUCGGUACAAACUGUCGCAAACCCGCGAGGGGGAGCUAAUCGGAAAAAGCCGACCUCAGUUCGGAUUGGAGUCUGCAAUUCGACUCCAUGAAGCUGGAAUCGCUAGUAAUCGCGGAUCAGAACGCCGCGGUGAAUACGUUCCCGGGCCUUGUACACACCGCCCGUCACAUCACGAAAGUGGACUGCACUAGAAGCCGGCGUGCUAACCCGCAAGGGAGGCAGCCGUCCAAGGUAUGGUUCAUGAUUGGGGUGAAGUCGUAACAAGGUACC